Molecule: ribosomal RNA, 2613 nt
Filed under: Salmonella enterica subsp. enterica serovar Typhimurium
Lineage: Bacteria; Pseudomonadati; Pseudomonadota; Gammaproteobacteria; Enterobacterales; Enterobacteriaceae
Description: bacterial LSU rRNA
Rfam family: Bacterial large subunit ribosomal RNA
Source: RNAcentral
GGGUUGUGAGGUUAAGCGACUAAGCGUACACGGUGGAUGCCCUGGCAGUCAGAGGCGAUGAAGGGCGUGCUAAUCUGCGAUAAGCGCCGGUAAGGUGAUAUGAACCGUUAUAACCGGCGAUACCCGAAUGGGGAAACCCAGUGUGAUUCGUCACACUAUCAUUAACUGAAUCCAUAGGUUAAUGAGGCGAACCGGGGGAACUGAAACAUCUAAGUACCCCGAGGAAAAGAAAUCAACCGAGAUUCCCCCAGUAGCGGCGAGCGAACGGGGAGGAGCCCAGAGCCUGAAUCAGCAUGUGUGUUAGUGGAAGCGUCUGGAAAGGCGCGCGAUACAGGGUGACAGCCCCGUACACAAAAGCGCAUGUGCUGUGAGCUCGAUGAGUAGGGCGGGACACGUGGUAUCCUGUCUGAAUAUGGGGGGACCAUCCUCCAAGGCUAAAUACUCCUGACUGACCGAUAGUGAACCAGUACCGUGAGGGAAAGGCGAAAAGAACCCCGGCGAGGGGAGUGAAAAAGAANNGGGCGUUAAGUUGCAGGGUAUAGACCCGAAACCCGGUGAUCUAGCCAUGGGCAGGUUGAAGGUUGGGUAACACUAACUGGAGGACCGAACCGACUAAUGUUGAAAAAUUAGCGGAUGACCUGUGGCUGGGGGUGAAAGGCCAAUCAAACCGGGAGAUAGCUGGUUCUCCCCGAAAGCUAUUUAGGUAGCGCCUCGUGAAUUCAUCUCCGGGGGUAGAGCACUGUUUCGGCUAGGGGGCCAUCCCGGCUUACCAACCCGAUGCAAACUGCGAAUACCGGAGAAUGUUAUCACGGGAGACACACGGCGGGUGCUAACGUCCGUCGUGAAGAGGGAAACAACCCAGACCGCCAGCUAAGGUCCCAAAGUCAUGGUUAAGUGGGAAACGAUGUGGGAAGGCCCAGACAGCCAGGAUGUUGGCUUAGAAGCAGCCAUCAUUUAAAGAAAGCGUAAUAGCUCACUGGUCGAGUCGGCCUGCGCGGAAGAUGUAACGGGGCUAAACCAUGCACCGAAGCUGCGGCAGCGANNUGCUGGAGGUAUCAGAAGUGCGAAUGCUGACAUAAGUAACGAUAAAGCGGGUGAAAAGCCCGCUCGCCGGAAGACCAAGGGUUCCUGUCCAACGUUAAUCGGGGCAGGGUGAGUCGACCCCUAAGGCGAGGCCGAAAGGCGUAGUCGAUGGGAAACGGGUUAAUAUUCCCGUACUUGGUGUUACUGCGAAGGGGGGACGGAGAAGGCUAUGUUGGCCGGGCGACGGUUGUCCCGGUUUAAGCGUGUAGGUGUGUGUUCCAGGUAAAUCCGGUUCACUUUAACACUGAGGCGUGACGACGAGGCACUACGGUGCUGAAGCAACAAAUGCCCUGCUUCCAGGAAAAGCCUCUAAGCAUCAGGUAACAUCAAAUCGUACCCCAAACCGACACAGGUGGUCAGGUAGAGAAUACCAAGGCGCUUGAGAGAACUCGGGUGAAGGAACUAGGCAAAAUGGUGCCGUAACUUCGGGAGAAGGCACGCUGACACGUAGGUGAAGUGAUUUACUCAUGGAGCUGAAGUCAGUCGAAGAUACCAGCUGGCUGCAACUGUUUAUUAAAAACACAGCACUGUGCAAACACGAAAGUGGACGUAUACGGUGUGACGCCUGCCCGGUGCCGGAAGGUUAAUUGAUGGGGUCAGCGCAAGCGAAGCUCCUGAUCGAAGCCCCGGUAAACGGCGGCCGUAACUAUAACGGUCCUAAGGUAGCGAAAUUCCUUGUCGGGUAAGUUCCGACCUGCACGAAUGGCGUAAUGAUGGCCAGGCUGUCUCCACCCGAGACUCAGUGAAAUUGAACUCGCUGUGAAGAUGCAGUGUACCCGCGGCAAGACGGAAAGACCCCGUGAACCUUUACUAUAGCUUGACACUGAACAUUGAGCCUUGAUGUGUAGGAUAGGUGGGAGGCUUUGAAGUGUGGACGCCAGUCUGCAUGGAGCCGACCUUGAAAUACCACCCUUUAAUGUUUGAUGUUCUAACGUGGACCCGUAAUCCGGGUUGCGGACAGUGUCUGGUGGGUAGUUUGACUGGGGCGGUCUCCUCCUAAAGAGUAACGGAGGAGCACGAAGGUUGGCUAAUCCUGGUCGGACAUCAGGAGGUUAGUGCAAUGGCAUAAGCCAGCUUGACUGCGAGCGUGACGGCGCGAGCAGGUGCGAAAGCAGGUCAUAGUGAUCCGGUGGUUCUGAAUGGAAGGGCCAUCGCUCAACGGAUAAAAGGUACUCCGGGGAUAACAGGCUGAUACCGCCCAAGAGUUCAUAUCGACGGCGGUGUUUGGCACCUCGAUGUCGGCUCAUCACAUCCUGGGGCUGAAGUAGGUCCCAAGGGUAUGGCUGUUCGCCAUUUAAAGUGGUACGCGAGCUGGGUUUAGAACGUCGUGAGACAGUUCGGUCCCUAUCUGCCGUGGGCGCUGGAGAACUGAGGGGGGCUGCUCCUAGUACGAGAGGACCGGAGUGGACGCAUCACUGGUGUUCGGGUUGUCAUGCCAAUGGCACUGCCCGGUAGCUAAAUGCGGAAGAGAUAAGUGCUGAAAGCAUCUAAGCACGAAACUUGCCCCGAGAUGAGUUCUCCCUGAGACUU